AACGAACACUGGCGGCAUGCCUAACACAUGCAAGUCGAACGAGACCUUCGGGUCUAGUGGCGCACGGGUGCGUAACGCGUGGGAACCUGCCCUUAGGUUCGGAAUAACUCCCCGAAAGGGGUGCUAAUACCGGAUAGUGUCUUCGGACCAAAGAUUUAUCGCCUUUGGAUGGGCCCGCGUUGGAUUAGCUAGUUGGUAGGGUAAAAGCCUACCAAGGCGACGAUCCAUAGCUGGUCUGAGAGGAUGAUCAGCCACACUGGGACUGAGCCACGGCCCAGACUCCUACGGGAGGCAGCAGUGGGGAAUAUUGGACAAUGGGCGAAAGCCUGAUCCAGCAAUGCCGCGUGAGUGAUGAAGGCCUUAGGGUUGUAAAGCUCUUUUACCCGGGAUGAUAAUGACAGUACCGGGAGAAUAAGCUCCGGCUAACUCCGUG
RNAcentral lists this ribosomal RNA (433 nucleotides) under uncultured bacterium. Its description in RNAcentral is "partial 16S ribosomal RNA". It matches the Rfam family "Bacterial small subunit ribosomal RNA", at positions 29 to 507 of the family's 1533-position model. The record is from RNAcentral.